AUUGAACGCUGGCGGCAGGCCUAACACAUGCAAGUCGAACGAGUGGCGGACGGGUGAGUAAUUUCUGGGAAACUGCCUGAUGGAGGGGGAUAACUACUGGAAACCGUAGCUAAUACCGCAUACCAUCAGAUGUGCCCAGAUGGUAUUGGCUUGUGGGUGGGGUAAAGGCUCACCAAGGCGAGGAGCCCUAGCUGGGCUGAGAGGAUGACCAGCCACACUGGAACUGAGAAACGGUCCAGACUCCUACGGGAGGCAGCAGUGGGGAAUAUUGCACAAUGGGCGCAAGCCUGAUGCAGCCAGGCCGCGUGUAUGAAGAAGGCCUUCGGGUUGUAAAGUACUUUCAGCGGGGAGGCGGUACACGAAGAAGAAGCACCGGCUAACUCCGUGCCAGCAGCCGCGGUAAUAG
RNAcentral lists this ribosomal RNA (406 nucleotides) under uncultured bacterium. RNAcentral's name for it is "partial 16S ribosomal RNA". It matches the Rfam family "Bacterial small subunit ribosomal RNA", at positions 29 to 526 of the family's 1533-position model. The record is from RNAcentral.